This 463-nucleotide ribosomal RNA is filed under the name uncultured bacterium. RNAcentral describes it as "bacterial SSU rRNA". It matches the Rfam family "Bacterial small subunit ribosomal RNA", at positions 32 to 507 of the family's 1533-position model. The record is from RNAcentral.
AACGCUGGCGGCGUGCUUAACACAUGCAAGUCGAACGGUGAACCAGAGCUUGCUCUGGGGAUCAGUGGCGAACGGGUGAGUAACACGUGGGCAACCUGCCCCAGACUCUGGGAUAACCUCGGGAAACCGAUGCUAAUACCGGAUACGACCACUUCGGACAUCCGACGGUGGUGGAAAGUUUUUCGGUCUGGGAUGGGCCCGCGGCCUAUCAGCUAGUUGGUGGGGUAAUGGCCUACCAAGGCGACGACGGGUAGCCGGCCUGAGAGGGCGACCGGCCACACUGGAACUGAGACACGGUCCCAGACUCCUACGGGAGGCAGCAGUGGGGAAUAUUGCACAAUGGGCGAAAGCCUGAUGCAGCGACGCCGCGUGAGGGACGACGGCCUUCGGGUUGUAAACCUCUUUCAGCAGGGACGAAGCGAAAGUGACUGUACCUGCAGAAGAAGCACCGGCUAACUACGUG